RNAcentral lists this ribosomal RNA (377 nucleotides) under uncultured bacterium. RNAcentral's name for it is "bacterial SSU rRNA". It matches the Rfam family "Bacterial small subunit ribosomal RNA", at positions 521 to 896 of the family's 1533-position model. The record is from RNAcentral.
UAAUACGUAGGUGGCGAGCGUUAUUCGGAUUUAUUGGGCGUAAAGCGUCCGUAGGGGGAUUUUUAAGUCAGAUGUGAAAUUUCGGGGCUCAACCCCGAACCUGCAUUUGAAACUGAAAGUCUAGAGUUCGGUAGAGGUAAGUGGAAUUUGUGGUGUAGCGGUGGAAUGCGUAGAUAUCACAAGGAACUCCAAAGGCGAAAGCAGCUUACUGGGCCGAUACUGACCCUGAGGGACGAAAGCUAAGGUAGCGAAAAGGAUUAGAUACCCUUGUAGUCUUAGCCGUAAACGUUGUACACUCGAUGUCGGGGGAAUUAGCCCCUUCGGUGUCUAAGCUAACGCGAUAAGUGUACCGCCUGGGAAGUACGGUCGCAAGACUA